This 290-nucleotide ribosomal RNA is filed under the name uncultured soil bacterium. RNAcentral's name for it is "partial 16S ribosomal RNA". It matches the Rfam family "Bacterial small subunit ribosomal RNA", at positions 26 to 321 of the family's 1533-position model. The record is from RNAcentral.
AGGACGAACGCUGGCGGCGUGCCUAACACAUGCAAGUCGAGCGGUAAGGCCUUUCGGGGUACACGAGCGGCGAACGGGUGAGUAACACGUGGGUGAUCUGCCCUGCACUUCGGGAUAAGCCUGGGAAACUGGGUCUAAUACCGGAUAUGACCUCCUAUCGCAUGGUGGGUGGUGGAAAGAUUUAUCGGUGCAGGAUGGGCCCGCGGCCUAUCAGCUUGGUUGGUGGGUAAUGGCCUACAAGGCGACGACGGUAGCCGACCUGAGAGGGUGACCGGCCACACGUGGGACUG